CAGGAAUGACGACUUCGCUCAGCUUCUGCAUCCUGGUUUAUGUUGUGAAAGGAAAAUAUCUUCAGCCCCUUCAAGCUGGUAACUGCUCAGGGCAAAUCUGUCUCAUUCUAUUCGAAGUCAUCCCUCUGCUCACUGAAAUUAAUGCAUAUUCUGAUUGCCUCCUUUGGAAAGGCUUAUCAGAAACCAAAAGAAUGCAACCAUUUCUCUCUCACCUGCCUGUGACCUGGAAGCCCCCUCCCAGCUUCAAGAGUUGUCCCUGUCUUUCUGCAUGAAACUAGUGUACUUCUUACAUAUAUUGACUGAUGUCUCAUGUCUCCCUAAAAUGUAUAAAACCAAGCUGUGUCCCAAUCACCUUGGGCACAUGUCAUUAGGACUUCCUGAGGCUGUGUCAUGGGCGCACUUCCUUAGCUUUGGCAAAUAAACCUAAAAUGAUUGAGACUUGUCUUAUCAUUUUUCUCGAUUGGCAAUGUCCUUCCAUGCCUUUUUCUGAUAAGUUGCUGACAUGUAUUGAACAUUUACUACAAAGCAAGGACCAGGACUUUACAUACACACUAUAUUUUACAAAAACCCCAUACUGUUAUUAUCUCCAUGGUGUUGACAAACAGAGAAGCUAA
Molecule: long non-coding RNA, 614 nt
Filed under: Homo sapiens (human)
Lineage: Eukaryota; Metazoa; Chordata; Mammalia; Primates; Hominidae
Description: HSALNT0282335
Source: RNAcentral